UAUUAGGCUUUGAACAGGAAUAGUAAUAUUUCAAUCAUUUUAAGAGAGCUGUUGUCUGGUGCAAAACAGUAUUUGAUAAAGUAUGAACUCGCCUGGGAGCAUAUCUGCAGAAAAGCAGGUACGGUAAAUCCGUUAUCUUUUUAAGCUGGGAUUUAUGUUUUGUUUUUUAUAUACAUAAAUCUAAUUAGAGUGGUACCGCGGAAUUUUAAUCUUUCGUCUCUUUU
RNAcentral lists this non-coding RNA (224 nucleotides) under Clostridiales bacterium. RNAcentral's name for it is "T-box sequence". It matches the Rfam family "T-box leader". Rfam says of the family: Uncharged tRNA acts as the effector for transcription antitermination of genes in the T-box leader family. T-boxes are found upstream of many aminoacyl-tRNA synthetase genes and some amino acid biosynthetic genes usually in Gram-positive bacteria. The anticodon of a specific tRNA base pairs to a specifier sequence within the T-box motif, and the NCCA acceptor tail of the tRNA base pairs to a conserved bulge in the T-box antiterminator hairpin. The record is from RNAcentral. Lineage: Bacteria; Bacillati; Bacillota; Clostridia; Eubacteriales.